Molecule: ribosomal RNA, 468 nt
Filed under: uncultured bacterium
Lineage: Bacteria
Description: partial 16S ribosomal RNA
Rfam family: Bacterial small subunit ribosomal RNA
Source: RNAcentral
GACGAACGCUGGCGGCGUGCUUAACACAUGCAAGUCGAACGGAAAGGCCCUGCUUUUGUGGGGUGCUCGAGUGGCGAACGGGUGAGUAACACGUGAGUAACCUGCCCUUGACUUUGGGAUAACUUCAGGAAACUGGGGCUAAUACCGGAUAGGAGCUCCUGCUGCAUGGUGGGGGUUGGAAAGUUUCGGUGGUUGGGGAUGGACUCGCGGCUUAUCAGCUUGUUGGUGGGGUAGUGGCUUACCAAGGCUUUGACGGGUAGCCGGCCUGAGAGGGUGGCCGGCCACAUUGGGACGGAGAUACGGCCCAGACUCCUACGGGAGGCAGAAGUGGGGAAUAUUGCACAAUGGGCGGAAGCCUGAUGCAGCAACGCCGCGUGGGGUAUGACGGCCUUCGGGUUGUAAACCGCUUUCGCCUGUGACGAAGCGUGAGUGACGGUAAUGGGUAAAGAAGCACCGGCUAACUACGUG